Molecule: long non-coding RNA, 1369 nt
Organism: Pan troglodytes (chimpanzee)
Lineage: Eukaryota; Metazoa; Chordata; Mammalia; Primates; Hominidae
Exons: 6
Source: RefSeq, a predicted model, not a curated record
ACCCAUGUUGAGAAGACACUACUAACGUCCAGUGGGAAACAAGUAGACAAUUGAUGAAGCUCAAAAAACAGAAGGGUUAGUGUUGUAAGAGCAAACAGUCUAAUCCUGUUUGGAAUGUGGAAGCCAUUUCUGAGCAAGUAUGAGGACACAGGUGCUUGAUUUGAGAUUGAAGACUAUUUUCAGCCUGGUCUUCCUGAAGGUUUCCUGGGGCCUGCGUCUGCCUUCUACUCCCAUGGCUGCUAGCACACACCUCCCAGAGGGCCAUAUUGCCACAUUAUGGUUAGAGAAGAAUAAAGAAGUAAAGAAGCUCUGAGAACAUUCACAGUUGUGCAUACUGACCCUGAAUCAAAUCAGGUUUCUGCCUACAAGAAGGAAGAAGAAAUGGCAGCUAGGUUCUCUCUCUUUGCCUGCUGCCAUCUACAUAAGAUGUGACUUGCUCCUCCUUGCCUUCUGCCAUGAUUGUGAGGCCUCCCCAGCCAUGUGCAACUCAAGAAAACUCUCACCAGAUGCCAGCCCUUCAAUUUUGGAUUUCCCAGCCUCCAGAACUAAAAACCACCUACAAGGACUCCUCAAACUCACAAUAAACAUAGACUGUUCUCAUAGGGCUUUGCCAUGCCUGGAGUUCUUCAACCCAGGAAAAGUGGCUACAAGACCUUGAUGUUCCACUCAGAGGACCAGGGAUUAUGGUGGGAGAGAUGACAUAAGGACUGAAAUCACACAAAGGUGCAAAUGACUAAUGCCAGUAGGUUUCUGGAAGCAGGUUCCGUAGACUUGAGGGUGCACUCCGAGGAAAGCUGAGUGAUGAGGAAGCACCAGGAAGGAAGUGCUCAGAAAAGGGGAGGCCGGUGGCUGGAGUGGCUCCUGGUCUAGCAGUUCUUCAUGUCCAUCUUGUUUUCUUUCCAAGGGAAUUUCAGCCUUACCUUUGCCCAGGUUUGGGUGGCAAUGAUAGGGACAGGAAAAGAGAAAUUCUGGGCAGAAGUGGGCGGGUCUCCAGCAAGGGCCUCACCCUCAAGCCUAAAACUAUGGCCCAAAGUGAGAACAUUCCUGUUUUCCUGCUUGACUGUUGCCUUUUCCAAAACCACCCAUGGCCCGCCCCACUCCUAACCUGUGCCCAAGAAAGCCCCAGGCUCCGCUAGCAGAGAGAGAAGAGAAGAAGCAGCUGGAUGUCAGAGACUAUGGUUGAAUGUCGGAGAGAAGGGGCUUGACUUCAGAGGGACAGCUUGAUGGCAUAGCUUUGGAGAGGAGUCUGGCCAGGGAUGGCCAGACUCCGGGGGAAGAUUACCUACCCACUCCCUCCCCUUCUCAGCAUCCCUUCUCACUGAGAGUCACUUUCAUCAGCAAUAAAAUCCCCUGCAUUUAUCAUCUCCAA